AUUUAUGUACGUGCCUGGUAUACCGAAGAGGUGUGGAUACCUUGACUUUAUUUCAUAUUCCAACUCUUGAAGUAUAACCUUGAAUACCUUUAUCGUCGAAAACAUUACAUAUUACAUACGUGCAUGCCCGAUGUCCUCUGAUUGCCUCUGAAUGCACAUUAGUCCCUAAAAUAGCCAUUUUAGGCCUUGAUACCGACCUCAAAUCUCACAAUAUAAAGAAUGAAAGUUAUAGAUCUACUCGUUAUCUUUCCGAAUCAUCCUGAAUCACCUCAAUCGGAGUUCAUAUGAAAAUGUUAUGCCCAAUUUACUAAAGGACGUCCGGACAGAUUUUGGCUUAAAACUUGACCAGUGCCUAGGCGCCCAGAUUUGGCCUUGGGCAAAUGCCUAGGCGCUCAAGAGUAGAAUCUAAGCGCCGAGCCUAGCGCCUAGGCGCUCGACCCUUGGCACUUAACUCCAAUUUUCCAGAUUUUGUAACUUUUGGCACACAUACUUCAAAUCUUCAUAACUUCUUCAUCCGUUAUCGGAAUUAGUCUUUUUUCAAGGUUAUGGAAAGCUUGUAACAUGCUCUAUAAAACCCCCAUGAUUUCAUAAUUUUUUAGAUUCAUUAAUUAUUCCAAAAUUUGGCUCUAAAGUCCCAUAAGACUAAGUUUUUACUAACAACGAUACGUGAAAAACGUUAUGAACACGUGAUAUACUUGGCGGUAAAACGAGUCUAUAGGCCACAGUUCCUAAUCGAUCGAGGAUUUCAAAUGGACCAAUUUAAUCGAUGGUUAAGAUAACGCCUUCUUGAACCUUCUUCUUUAUAUUCAUCAGAUUCGGGUGUGUAGCUUGAGCGGCCUUUAACUUUAUCGAUUAGAGUCAAUUCUACUCGUAUAUUUGAUAUCACCACGUGGGUCCCUAGAUUCUUUAACUCUAUCUUCAUCAUUUGUAAUUUAUACGAAAUGGGUUUUUGUGUUAACAACGUCACACUCGUAACCGCAUACGAUCUUCUACUCAACGCGUCAGCUACCACGUUCGCUCUUCCACGAUGAUAUUGAAUGGUAUGAUCGUAAUCUUCAACAGCUCGAGCCAACGUCUUUGGCGCAUUAUACGUUCGUUUUGGUUGAAGAAAUAUUUAAGGGUUUUAGAAAUGGGUUUUGUACUGGGGUCAAUACAAAAUUCGUUUUCACACUCUGGGGUAGGUCAAGAAGUCUUCAAUAAUACGUCAGGAAAUUUAUUAACAAUAGAAAUAUCAUUCAAAACUGUGACUCUCAUCCAAGACUUGGAUAGCACGUCACAUUGAUACCUAUUAACUUGUCAUCAUCAUUCGCGGCUUCCCCUACAGAAAGUCUGGCUUCGGUGCAUUCCACACAAGGAAGUCAACAACGAAAGGAUCGGGGCUCUUUACUUAUGGCUUGAUAUAACAGUGAUUAACUUUAGUGGUUUGGUUGCUUGAAUUCGUA
This 1442-nucleotide long non-coding RNA is filed under the name Panax ginseng (ginseng). RNAcentral describes it as "long non-coding RNA (PGIN_LNC017665)". Lineage: Eukaryota; Viridiplantae; Streptophyta; Magnoliopsida; Apiales; Araliaceae. The record is from RNAcentral.